Molecule: long non-coding RNA, 992 nt
Filed under: Dermacentor andersoni
Lineage: Eukaryota; Metazoa; Arthropoda; Arachnida; Ixodida; Ixodidae
Description: uncharacterized LOC126540076
Source: RNAcentral
GCUGUUUCAAAUUAGACAUGCAGCGCCACUGCGACGGCAGCUGGCGAAAUGUCCCUGUUCCCUCCGCACAGCCGCGCCUAGCCGCAGCAGGUGGACCUGGCCCCUGGCAGCGCAAGCGUGUGUACACGGCGAAAACAGUCGACUUCUAUCUACUGUUGCGUGUGCAAAUGUCAUAACAGCUACUAGAACACGGCCGGAAAACUGCCGAAGGUGCAAUUUUAUCAUUUUCGUUGGAAAUCGUACGAGGCUGAUCGGCGACAACGUUAGAUCGCUGCCGUUCGGCGCGCCCGUCCGAAUGGAGAUUUGUGGCAACCAGUGCAACGCAAGACAGUCAUCUGCAGUGCUCACUUUGUCGGUAACAAAGCGAGCACAAUUGCCGGCCAUCCCGCCAAUGUUCCAACUGUGUUUCCGCCGUGUUACAGAAGAAGUGAUGCAGUACUACCGGCAUCAAAGCUCGACAGGUAUAAUAGGUGAGUGUUAUUAGCAGAAAGGUUGCCCGUAAAGUGGUUAGGGUCGGCUGUGAGAAAAAAUUGCUGCGAUACUACAGCUCUUUACGACUUUGAAGAGCGGGUGAACCAAUAGUUCAAAGAAAUUGCUGCGCCUCCAUGAAAACCGAAAACGUUUUGCAGUAUUCAUUAAGCGUGCUUACAGCUGUUUUUUUAUAAGAUUAAGCGACGUCGCGCAGUGCUUCAAGCGCCGACAUCCAAGAGCGCGAUCACGGCGACUGCGGAUCCCUUUGAGGACUCCUCGACUGACCUCGCCGACGAAAUCAUUGCAUUACCGGAAGAAACUGGCACAUCUGCAUCAGUGGUGACGCAGACAGAUGCAGAUUUUAACGGACGUGUUUACACUGUGUUCCUCUCUGUGACAGCAGAAGGCGCGGCGUCUACUCAAGUUUGCCAUACCAACAUUGUUGAGAGAGGUGUACAAGCAAGUGCCUCUGUGAGAUCGACAGCUAUUGGACCGAUCGAACGCAGCUGCGCAUUUCUUGG